RNAcentral lists this ribosomal RNA (498 nucleotides) under uncultured bacterium. RNAcentral's name for it is "partial 16S ribosomal RNA". It matches the Rfam family "Bacterial small subunit ribosomal RNA", at positions 30 to 523 of the family's 1533-position model. The record is from RNAcentral.
AUUGAACGCUGGCGGCAUGCCUUACACAUGCAAGUCGAACGGUAACAGGUCUUCGGAUGCUGACGAGUGGCGAACGGGUGAGUAAUACAUCGGAACGUGCCUAGUAGUGGGGGAUAACUACUCGAUAGAUUGGCUAAUACCGCAUGAGAUCUACGGAUGAAAGCAGGGGAUCGCAAGACCUUGUGCUACUAGAGCGGCCGAUGGCAGAUUAGGUAGUUGGUGGGAGAAAAGCUUACAAAGCCGACGAUCUGUAGCUGGUCUGAGAGGACGAUCAGCCACACUGGGACUGAGACACGGCCCAGACUCCUACGGGAGGCAGCAGUGGGGGAUUUUGGACAAUGGGCGCAAUCCUGAUCCAGCAAUGCCGCGUGCAGGAUGAAGGCCUUCGGGUUGUAAACUGCUCUUGUACGGAACGAAAAGCCCCGGGUUAAUACCCUGGGGUCAUGACGGUACCGUAAGAAUAAGCACCGGCUAACUACGUGCCAGCCGCCGCAGUAA